Long non-coding RNA from Morus notabilis, 287 nucleotides. RefSeq lists it as uncharacterized. NCBI's taxonomy places the organism in Eukaryota, Viridiplantae, Streptophyta, Magnoliopsida, Rosales, Moraceae. The transcript is spliced from 3 exons. The record is from RefSeq and is a predicted model, not a curated record.
AGUUUCAAGAAGUAAGAUCUUUUCUUUUCUCCCAUUUCUACCGAGUUGCACCCUCCUUAAAGUCUAAUAACUUUACUUCAAGAGCAAGACCAAGAGGGGACAAGUUGGCCAGAGAUAGUUUUAGACCACUUAUAGAAGCUUAAGGACGUGGUUUGAAGCUAUGGAAGGCUAGCAUUAAGGUAAAAAGCCUACUACUCAUUGAUGGACUUCACAAGGGAGUAUGUGUAUGGUGGAGGGUUGGGCUUGGAUACCACCAUGCUAUAAAUUCUGUAAAUAAUAAAUAUGGC